Molecule: ribosomal RNA, 253 nt
Filed under: uncultured bacterium
Lineage: Bacteria
Description: partial 16S ribosomal RNA
Rfam family: Bacterial small subunit ribosomal RNA
Source: RNAcentral
UACGGGGGGUGCGAGCGUUGUCCGGAAUCACUGGGCGUAAAGGGCGCGUAGGUGGCUCUGUAAGUUUGCGGUGAAAGCCCGUGGCUCAACCCCGGGUCUGCCGUGGAUACUGCAAGGCUUGAGUACUGUAGAGGCAGGUAGAAUAUCGGGUGUAGCGGUGGAAUGCGUAGAGAUCCGAUAGAAGAGCGGUGGCGAAGGCGGCCUGCUGGGCAGUACAUGACACUGAGGCGCGACAGCGUGGGGAGCAAACAGU